UUAAAUAUGGCUGUCCAUAUCCCUGGAGGUAUAGGUGCAGCUGGUUCUGGAACCCUAACUGUCAUAAAGAAAACAAGACGACUUGCAUUUGCAGCUGCUGAUCCAUUCCUUUUACUAGCAGUAUGGACCACCAAGCAUGAUUAAUAUUACAAAACGUCAUGCUGCUUAUGACAUAGCUCGAUGGUUUAACUGAAUGCUGUAAGAAACGGAAAUUUUUCCGCCGAUGGACCAUUGACGAGUUUUUCAGGUUUUUACUAUACUCUCAUGCAUGUUAGUGAAUAAAUCUAUGAUUUUCGCUAAUCCUGACUUUAA
Molecule: non-coding RNA, 312 nt
Organism: Dermacentor andersoni
Lineage: Eukaryota; Metazoa; Arthropoda; Arachnida; Ixodida; Ixodidae
Source: RefSeq, a predicted model, not a curated record